RNAcentral lists this long non-coding RNA (654 nucleotides) under Zonotrichia albicollis (white-throated sparrow). Its description in RNAcentral is "lncRNA (ENSZALG00000003141.1)". Lineage: Eukaryota; Metazoa; Chordata; Aves; Passeriformes; Passerellidae. The record is from RNAcentral.
CACAGUUGAAGCAUGAUGCUAUGGUGGAAAAAGGCACUGGUGUAGAUGGAAAUUCCAGCAAUAAAUAUUGGAUAUUCUUUAUACCUUGCCCAGAAGAGAAGUGUGACAAUGAAGUUGUUCAAUGCCAGUGAGAUACUGCAUGAACAAAGCAGCUGUGGUGGAGCAGAGGAUCAGCAUCUCCAAAAGCUGGAAGCCCAGGCAUUCUGUCCUCUCCAGAAUUAAACUGUUCUCCAUAUUGAGCACUUGGAUAUCUUAACCCUGGACUGCUCUUACAGACUGGCUGCUUUGAAGACCAGAUGUGAAAAGGUUUGGACAGACAUAAAGUAGUGUCCCCUAUAAACAUCAGAAACCCAGUCUUAUCCUCUGAUGGAAAGCAAUGGGCUACAAUCUGCCAGUCAGGCAUGACAGCUCAGACCCAUGCUAGAAUUACUAAUCUAAAAAAAUGAAGUUACUCGUGCUCUUGGCACGUUACAUAUAUUGCCAUCUGUAGUAGCAGUUGCAUAAGUGGUGCCAGGAUUUCUUUAGGAAUUGAGAGCAUUUUAUCUUUCCAAUACCCAGAGAAAUGUUAAGGUGUUGCUAGCAGCUUUGUUGCUAAUUACACUUACAACUAAAGAAAAAAAAAGUAUAGCAUGAGAUAAUUACAAGGAGUGUCAG